GAUGAACGCUGGCGGCGUGCCUAAUACAUGCAAGUCGAGCGAACAGACGAGGAGCUUGCUCCUCUGACGUUAGCGGCGGAUGGGAGAGUAACACGUGGAGAACCUACCUAUAAGACUGGGAUAACUACGGGAAACCGGAGCUAAUACCGGAUAAUAUAUUGAACCGCAUGGUUGAAUAGUGAAAGACGGUUUUGCUGUCACGUAUAGAUGGUUCCGCGCCGCAUUAGCUAGUUGGUAAGGUAACGGCUUACCAAGGCGACGAUGCGUAGCCGACCUGAGAGGGUGAUCGGCCACACUGGAACUGAGACACGGUCCAGACUCCUACGGGAGGCAGCAGUAGGGAAUUUUCCGCAAUGGGCGAAAGCCUGACGGAGCAACGCCGCGUGGGUGAUGAAGGUCUUCGGGUCGUAAAGCACUGUUAUUAGGGAAGAAGAAAUGUGUAAGUAACUAUACACGUAUUGACGGUACCUGAUGAGAAAGCCACGGCUAACUACGUG
This 497-nucleotide ribosomal RNA is filed under the name uncultured bacterium. Its description in RNAcentral is "partial 16S ribosomal RNA". It matches the Rfam family "Bacterial small subunit ribosomal RNA", at positions 28 to 507 of the family's 1533-position model. The record is from RNAcentral.